UAGGUUAUUAGUUUGCUAUUAUAUACAAUUUUCCCAUAUUUUAUCAUGUUGGGUCCACUUAUAUUUGGCAAAAGUCCACAAACGAGCACUCUUUGUAAUGGUAGUUUUGGAAUAUUGUAGUCUUUUUCAUAUAUUUUAUAUUUCGUGCUCGGACAAAUUAUAUCACAUAAAUUAAAACGGAGAAAAUAUUAAAUAACAAUGGUGAAUUCUUGAAAAUAUGUUUUUUAUAAGAUUGAUCUUUAAUUAAUUGUGAAGACAAUUGAUCUUUGACUCUCCCUUAAUAACCAAGUUUAUAUAAACCAAUCAUCGUAAGAAGCAAAUAGUAAUAACUUUCUCUAGCUAAAACAUACCCAAAUCUUACACUAAUUUAAAUUAUUCAAUAGUUAUUUUUUUUUGUUACCACUCAAAAUUUAAAUGAUUUCUUAAAAAUAGAAAAGAACUAUUAAAAGUAUUAUUAGCUAGAAAAAUAAAAUAGCAAAAUAGUCAUUUUUCAUGUACAACUUAGGGACCUAUAUAUAUGUCAUGCAUCCUUACUACAACUUCUACUUCUUACUUCUUCCUUCUCUUCUUUACUCCAAAGUGAAAUAUUAGGGGAAAACAAAGAUAUUGUUGGGGAGAAUGUUGUCUGGUUCGAAAUCUUUCUAUAGAAAAAUCAGUGGUGGAUUCAGUUAUGAGUUUCAAGAUCGUUAAAUCUUAUAUAUGUACAAAAAUAAGUACAAUAUAUAUUUUUAGACCCUAAAAUGUCGAAUAUAUAUUCUGAAUUCGUCAAUUUAUUGAGUGAUUUCGGACCAGGCUUCAUUCCCCUCAACUCUAUGAGUUAUUCAUCGAUAUUGUCCAAUCAAAACACUAGAAUCAUACAUGUUUUGAAUUAUUCACUUGCAACAUUAAUCAUGUCUUUUUUUUUGUGUGUGUUCACAGCUAAAAUCAGGAUGAUUCAAAUCAAAAGAAGAGAUAGAAGCCACCAUGGUAGUUAAUACUCUAGGUUGAGAACUCGUGGUGAUCAAGACAACUUUUUUUAUAAAACCAUUUUGAAACUUGAGUGUAUAUCUAUGGAAUAUCUUUUUUUUUCUUCAUAUUUUUAAUUAAUUAAUACUUUAGUCUCCCUUUUAUAAACUUUUCUAUGUUUUUCACCAAAUUCAUUGAAAAAUUAAACAAGGAUUGUGUACAUGUAGUGUGAAAACAUGACAUGAUUGGGCAAAAGAGAAAGUUAGGUUAGGUUUUCACCUUUUUAUACAGUUAUGAAGAAGAUUCUAAUUACUUUUUAAUAAUUAUAAUACACCUUUACUUGUAGAGA
Molecule: non-coding RNA, 1294 nt
Organism: Solanum lycopersicum (tomato)
Lineage: Eukaryota; Viridiplantae; Streptophyta; Magnoliopsida; Solanales; Solanaceae
Source: RefSeq, a predicted model, not a curated record